Molecule: small nuclear RNA, 107 nt
Organism: Suncus etruscus (white-toothed pygmy shrew)
Lineage: Eukaryota; Metazoa; Chordata; Mammalia; Eulipotyphla; Soricidae
Source: RefSeq, a predicted model, not a curated record
GUGCUCACUCAGUCAGCACAUAUACUAAAAUUUGAACGAUACAGAGAAGAUUUGCAUGACCCCUGCACAAGAAUGACAUGCAAAUUCGUGAAGUGUUCCAUAUUAAA